Molecule: small nuclear RNA, 116 nt
Organism: Pan troglodytes (chimpanzee)
Lineage: Eukaryota; Metazoa; Chordata; Mammalia; Primates; Hominidae
Gene: U5
Rfam family: U5 spliceosomal RNA
About the family: U5 RNA is a component of both types of known spliceosome.
Source: Ensembl
AUACUCUGGUUUCUCUUCAGAUCGUAUAAAUCUUUCGCCUUUUACUAAAGAUUUCCGUGGAGAGGAACAACUCUGAGUCUUAAGCCAAUUUUUUGAGGCCUUGCUCCGGCAAGGCU